AUACGUAGGGAGCAGGCGUUGUCCGGAUUUACUGGGUGUAAAGGGUGCGUAGGCGGCUCUGCAAGUCAGGUGUGAAAACCAUCGGCUCAACUGAUGGACUGCAUUUGAAACUGUGGAGCUUGAGUGAAGUAGAGGCAGGCGGGAUUCCCGGGGUAGCGGUGAAAUGCGGAGAGAUCGGGAGGAACACCAGUGGCGAAGGCGGCCUGCUGGGCUUUAACUGACGCUGAGGCACGAAAGCAUGGGUAGCAAACAGGUUUAGAUACCCUGGUAGUCCAUGCCGUAAACGAUGAUUACUAGGUGUGGGGGGUCUGACCCCUUCCGUGCCGGAGUUAACACAAUAAGUAAUCCACCUGGGAAGUACGACCGCAAGGUUGA
Molecule: ribosomal RNA, 375 nt
Filed under: uncultured bacterium
Lineage: Bacteria
Description: bacterial SSU rRNA
Rfam family: Bacterial small subunit ribosomal RNA
Source: RNAcentral